This 987-nucleotide long non-coding RNA is filed under the name Marmota monax (woodchuck). The record is from RNAcentral. Lineage: Eukaryota; Metazoa; Chordata; Mammalia; Rodentia; Sciuridae.
GUUGGGCAGGUGGAUAGACAAAAUUUACAUGAAUAAAAUCCGAGCACAUGUGCUCUGCUGGAACCCAGCAAGAUGCUGUGGCGGUCAUUCUGUGUCCACAGACACAGAUACUGCUCUCCCUGGCUGACCUACAGCUGAGUGUGAGUCAGCUCUAGUGUACUGAACGGGCUCCUAACAGUGGGCAUCGCGGCUGUGAUUUUGCCCUACCAGAGACAGCGUUGGGUGGUCUUCUUACCCACAUGACUUUCACAAUGGCCCAGGUGCCCCCUGAGAUAAAUUUACAGCUCUAGGAUCACGGUGUCAGAGAACACGAACUUGGGUUUCCCAGAGAUGGUGUGCUCUGAACACUGGUGUCCCCACCCACAAGACUCAGGUGUUGAAACCUAACCCCAAGGUAGUGAGAGACCGGGCUUUGGGGAGGCACGAGGUCUCGAGGCUCUGCCCUGCAGACGAUCCUUGUAAAAGAGGCCUGAGGGAGUUUUUCUGCCCUUCACAAGAGCAAGACCUAAAGAAGGAGCCAUCCUGCAGGAACCAGCCCUCACCACACACUGAACCUGUGGCACCUGGUCUUGGACUCCAGCCUCCAGAACCGUUAGCGAUACCUUCCUACUGUUUAUAUCAUGCUGUCUGCAGUGCUGCACCACAGGAGCAGAGCAGAUGGAGGCACAUUUUCUAUUGCCUUCCAGAAGGGUGUGGACACCUUACACUCCUACCGAUGGUGGAUGAGAGGGCUGUUACCCUGCAGCCCCAUCAAACAGCCUCAUCAAACAGCCUCAUCAUGCUGGUUUUGGAUUGGCCAACCUGAUAAACCAAAGCCAUCUUGCUUUUGCUUAAUAAUCUUUCCCAUUUUUCUGAGCCGUGGUGAAGUGGAGCAUUUUUCCAUACCCUCUGAUUACAGACAUGUUUCUUCUUUGUAUUUAAAAUCCCUGUGUGUGUCCUUUGCUCACUGUGAGGCUGCGGUCUCCUUUUCCAAGCUGUAGUUUUAAC